Molecule: RNA transcript, 2498 nt
Organism: Gossypium raimondii (Peruvian cotton)
Lineage: Eukaryota; Viridiplantae; Streptophyta; Magnoliopsida; Malvales; Malvaceae
Gene name: B3 domain-containing transcription factor VRN1
Exons: 10
Source: RefSeq, a predicted model, not a curated record
AUCAGGGCUGAAGUUACCUCCUCAACGGUUUGUCUAUUUGUUUAUGUAGUGAACCAUGAUUGAACAUACUCUUCAACAGGCUUCCACAAUGUUUACGUCCAAAACUCCCCAUUUUUUCAAAGUAAUUCUUCAGGAAACUUUGAGAGAUGGGAUACUCGGGAUUCCUAGAAAGUUUGUGAGAAAAUACGGAAACCAACUGUCAAGCCCUGUUAAGCUUGAGGUGCCUAGUGGUGCAAUAUGGCAGGUGGAACUGGCAAAGACUGAUGAAAGGGUGAGGUUGCAAAACGGCUGGCGAGAAUUUGCAGAGCAUUACUCGCUUGAACUUGGGUCUUUUGUGGUCUUCAGAUAUGAAGGGAAUGAUCAUUUCCAUGUCCUAAUUUUUGAUAAAAGCGCUUCGGAGACCGAGUAUCCCCACACUAGCACUGAAGGUAACGAUGGUGAUGAUCAUGUGUCCAUUGAGCUUUGUGAUGAUGUUUCAGCCAGUAAGAAAAACAAAGAGAAACCAGAUUUGCCAUGUUCACUCCCUCAAAAGAAAAUGAGUACUGAUUCAAAGUUAAAGAAUUCAUCUUCACACAUUUGCCUUGAUGAACCCUGCUCUAUAAAGAAUAAGCUUCGGAAUCUCAAGAAAGAUGAAAACUCAAGUAGUUCAACAGGACAAGUAGAUGCUCAAAGGAGCAUAGGCAGUACAGAUGGAACCAGGAGCUUGGUAAGAGAUACUAAUUCUAGUUCUCAAGAAAGAUGUCCCUCCGGCUCUAGAGAACUUAAAGACUCAAAGUUCCAAAAACGAAAGAAGCGUGUGGAUUCCCAAUAUUCAACAAAAGAUCUUAGGGAUGAAUUCAUAUGUUCAGCAAAACAUGAUAAUGGAGGGGUAUCAGGUGCUUGUGGAUGUCUGAAACCUAACCUUUUAGGCAGGAUGCAACCAUUGGCUCCAACUGAGAAACAAAGAGCUGCUGAUAUUGUAAGUUGGUCUUCCUCAAGAUUAGUGAGUAGGAAAAGUAAAGAGAAAUCACAUUUACCAUGUCCUCUGCCUCAGAAGAAAAUGAGAAUCGAUGCUUCUAAUCAACAUGAACAAAAUUCAAAGUUAGAGGUUUUAUCUUCUGGCACUAGCCCUGAUGCUCAAAGAAGUGUGAAAACUAAGGCUUUCAGUUGUGUGCAACGGCUGGCAGCCAUUGAAAAGGCGCACGCUGUUCAGAUAGCUAGUGCUUUUGAAAGUACUGAAAACCCAGUUUUUAUGAUAGUCAUGCAACCAUCAUACGUUCGUGGCAGAAUGUUUAUACCAUCGGACUUUGCUAGAAAAUUUUUGACAGUGCACAAGUCUAAUCUGACCUUGUGCAAUUCCACUGGGAAAACUUGGCAUGCCAAGUUAUACUAUCCAGCAAAUAAAAAACCAAACGCACACCUCUACGGUGGGUGGCGUGAAUUUGUGGAAGAUAAUCAUCUUAAUGUUGGUGACAUUUGUGUCUUCGAGCUAAUUAAGUACCCUGAAAUCUUAAUGAAAGUGCAAAUCUAUCCGGGUGUCAAAAAUGCAAGCAAGGCCUGCGGGCAACAAUCUCUCGGGAGCAUAGUUAGUCGAGUUAAAAACAGGAUCUUGGUCAGUGAUGCUGAACCCAAUUGUCAACAAAGUCCAUCCAGCUCCAGAGAAUCUAAAGACCUAACAGACUCGCACAUCAAAACCUUGGAUGACUCUCCACUAGACCAGAAAACAGAGAAGAAAUAGACACGCUCGAGUGUUCAGCAUUGUAAGAUGACGAGAACCAGCCUAAGUGGAAGCAUUCAGGCUAAGGGGAUUAAGCACGAGAAAGGAAAGAGCUUGAAUUUCCAAUAUUCAACAGAAGAACUUGGAGGUGGACUCAAAAAUUCUGCAAAAGGUGAUAGUGGAAGGAAGUCAGGUGCUCGGAGAUGUCUGAAACCUGAUCCUGUAUACCAGAAACGAAGAGCUUGUACAGGAGGUGGUGCUUUUAGAACUUCAAACCCCUCUUUCAGUGUUGUGAUACACCCAUCACAUGUUGGUUCUUGUAGUACUGUGCAUAUACCGGAGGAAUUUGGCAAGAGAUAUUUGAAGAAAAGCGGAGAAAUGAUGCUGAGAGUUGCAGAUGGGAGGAGUUGGAAUGUUGAGUACGAAAGAAGAGGAAGGAGUAAAGGUAGAAAAGCAGUCUUUGGGGGUAAGAGUUGGGGACAAUUUGCGAUGGACAAUGAAUUGGAGGUGGGAGACGUUUGUGUGUUUGAGCUGAUGAAUGAAAAUGGAAACUUGUUGGAAGUUGUCAUUCAUCGCAAGCUUUUACUCGUCGAAAUUAAUUAAGUUGUCAAAUAUUUCAAUCCAAAUUGAAACUGUUUGAUGAUUUUGAGUAUUUACUUCAAUGGAACUUUGUAUUAUUCAAGGAUGGAGAAUACAUCCCUGUUCAUUCAAAUAUCAUACUACAAAAAUCAUUUUAUUUAAUUAUGAUAUAUACUUUUUAUUUUUUAUUUUAUUAAAACUAUUUUAUAAUUUUUUACGAUUA